Molecule: ribosomal RNA, 440 nt
Filed under: uncultured bacterium
Lineage: Bacteria
Description: partial 16S ribosomal RNA
Rfam family: Bacterial small subunit ribosomal RNA
Source: RNAcentral
CCUACGGGUGGCAGCAGUAGGGAAUAUUGCUCAAUGGGGGAAACCCUGACGCAGCAACGCCGCGUGGAGGAUGAAGGUUUUAGGAUUGUAAACUCCUUUUGUUAGAGAAGAUUAUGAGGGUGUCUAACGCAUAAGCACCAGCUAAAUCCGCGCCAGAAGCCGCGGUAAUACGGAGGGUGCAAGCGUUAUUCGGAUUCACUGGGCGUAAAGAGUGCGUAGGCGGGGUAAUAAGUCAGAUGUGAAAUCCUGUAGCUUGACUACCGAACUGCAUUUGAAACUGUUACUCUUGAGUGUGGGAGAGGUAGGUGGAAUUCUUUGUGUAGGGGUAAAAUCCGUAGAGAUCAAGAGGAAUACUCGUUGCGAAGGCGACCUGCUGGACCAUUACUGACGCUGAGGCACGAAAGCGUGGGGAGCAAACAGGAUUAGAUACCCUUGUAGUC